RNAcentral lists this ribosomal RNA (497 nucleotides) under uncultured bacterium. RNAcentral describes it as "partial 16S ribosomal RNA". It matches the Rfam family "Bacterial small subunit ribosomal RNA", at positions 28 to 507 of the family's 1533-position model. The record is from RNAcentral.
GAUGAACGCUGGCGGCGUGCCUAAUACAUGCAAGUCGAGCGAACAGACGAGGAGCUUGCUCCUCUGACGUUAGCGGCGGACGGGUGAGUAACACGUGUAUAACCUACCUAUAAGACUGGUAUAACUUCGGGAAACCGGAGCUAAUCCCGGAUAAUAUAUUGAACCGCAUGGUUCAAUAGUGAAAGACGGUUUUGCUGUCACUUAUAGAUGGAUCCGCGCCGCAUUAGCUAGUUGGGAAGGUAACGGCCUACCAAGGCAACGAUGCGUAGCCGACCGGAGAGGGUGAUCGGCGACAUGGGAACGGGGACACGGUCCAGGCUCCUACGGGAGGCAGCAGUAGGGAAUCUUCCGCAAUGGGCGAAAGCCUGACGGAGCAACGCGGCGUGAGUGAUGACGGUCUUGGGUUCGUAAAACUCUGUUAUUGGGGAAGAACAAAUGUGUAAGUAACUAUGCACGUCUUGACGGUAACUAAUCAGAAAGCCACGGCUAACUACGUG